AGCACCGGCUUAAUCUCCUGUCCCCAGCAGCCGCGGUAAUACAGGAUGGCGCGAGCUGUUCAUCAGAAUUUACUGGGGCAUAAAAGCGCACGCAGCGGUGGUUUUGUUAGUGUCAGAUGUGAAAGCCCCGGGGCUCAACCUCAGGAGUCGCAUUUGAAAACUGGGCAGACUAGAGUACAGUAGAGGGAGGGUAGAAUUCUCAUGUGUAGCUGUAAAGUGCGUAGAGAUCUGAGGGCAUACCGGUGGAGAGGGCGUCUCCCGGGACAGAUAGUGACAGUGAGAUGAGAGAGCGUGGGGAGCACACAGGAUUAGAUACCGUUGUUGUACACGCUGUAAACGAAGUCUACUUGGAGAUUGUGUCCCUGAGCCGUGGCUUUCGGAGCUAACGCGUUAAGUAGACCGCCUGGGGAGUACGGUCGCAAAGAUUAAAACUCAAAUGAAUUGACGGGGGGCCCGCACAAGCGGUGGAGCAUGUGGUUUAUUUCGAUGCAACGCGAAGAACCUUACCUACUCUUGACAUCCAGAGAACUUUCCAGAGAUGGAUUGGUGCCUUCGGGAACUCUGAGACAGGUGCUGCAUGGCUUCGUCAGCUCGUGUUGUGAAAUGUUGGGUUAAGUCCCGCAACGAGCGCAACCCUUAUCCUUGUUUGCCAGCGAGUAAUGUCGGGAACUCCAGGGAGACUGCCGGUGAUAAACCGGAGGAAGGUGGGGACGACGUCAAGUCAUCAUGGCCCUUACGAGUAGGGCUACACACGUGCUACAAUGGCGCAUACAGAGGGCAGCCAACUUGCGAAAGUGAGCAAAUCCCAAAAAAUGCGUCGUAGUCCGGAUUGGAGUCUGCAACUCGACUCCAUGAAGUCGGAAUCGCUAGUAAUCGGGAUCAGAAUGCCACGGUGAAUACGUUCCCGGUCCUUGUACACCCCCCCCGCCCCCCCAUGGGAGUGGGCUCACAAAGAAGUAGGUAGUUAACCUUCGGGCCACGCGCAGCACUUGAUCCCCGG
RNAcentral lists this ribosomal RNA (1000 nucleotides) under Vibrio owensii. RNAcentral's name for it is "bacterial SSU rRNA". It matches the Rfam family "Bacterial small subunit ribosomal RNA", at positions 488 to 1473 of the family's 1533-position model. Lineage: Bacteria; Pseudomonadati; Pseudomonadota; Gammaproteobacteria; Vibrionales; Vibrionaceae. The record is from RNAcentral.